RNAcentral lists this ribosomal RNA (188 nucleotides) under Amblyomma dissimile (iguana tick). Its description in RNAcentral is "partial large subunit ribosomal RNA". Lineage: Eukaryota; Metazoa; Arthropoda; Arachnida; Ixodida; Ixodidae. The record is from RNAcentral.
AGAAUUUUUUUUUUUAUUAAAAUAAUAUUUUAUUUUAAAAAUUUAAUUGGGGCGAUUAAUUAAUAUUAAAAACUUUAUUAAUAAAAAAAUGAUCCAUUAUUAAUGAUUAUUUGAUUAAAAUACUCUAGGGAUAACAGCGUAAUAAUUUUUGAUAGUUCUUAUAGAAAAAAUAGUUUGCGACCUCGAUG